GGGCCCGCACAAGCGGCGGAGCAUGUGGCUUAAUUCGAGGCAACGCGAAGAACCUUACCUGGGUUGAACUACGUAGGAAAAGCCGUAGAGAUACGGUGUCCGCAAGGGCCUGCGAUAGGUGGUGCAUGGCUGUCGUCAGCUCGUGUCGUGAGAUGUUGGGUUAAGUCCCGCAACGAGCGCAACCCUUGUCCUAUGUUGCCAGCGGGUAAUGCCGGGGACUCGUAGGAGACUGCCGGGGUCAACUCGGAGGAAGGUGGGGAUGACGUCAAGUCAUCAUGCCCCUUACGCCCAGGGCUGCACACAUGCUACAAUGGCCGGUACAAAGGGCUGCUAUCCCGCGAGGGUGAGCGAAUCCCAAAAAGCCGGUCUCAGUUCGGAUUGCAGUCUGCAACUCGACUGCAUGAAGUCGGAGUCGCUAGUAAUCCCGGAUCAGCAACGCCGGGGUGAAUACGUUCCCGGGCCUU
RNAcentral lists this ribosomal RNA (464 nucleotides) under uncultured bacterium. Its description in RNAcentral is "bacterial SSU rRNA". It matches the Rfam family "Bacterial small subunit ribosomal RNA", at positions 917 to 1382 of the family's 1533-position model. The record is from RNAcentral.